UGACCUCGGAUGCAGGUAG
Molecule: ribosomal RNA, 19 nt
Filed under: Trichoderma harzianum
Lineage: Eukaryota; Fungi; Ascomycota; Sordariomycetes; Hypocreales; Hypocreaceae
Description: partial 28S ribosomal RNA
Source: RNAcentral